This is an unclassified non-coding RNA of Aotus nancymaae (Ma's night monkey), 304 nucleotides long. It matches the Rfam family "Metazoan signal recognition particle RNA". Rfam says of the family: The signal recognition particle (SRP) is a universally conserved ribonucleoprotein. It is involved in the co-translational targeting of proteins to membranes. NCBI's taxonomy places the organism in Eukaryota, Metazoa, Chordata, Mammalia, Primates, Aotidae. The record is from Ensembl.
GCCAUUGCAGGUGCGGUGGCACAUGUCUGUAGUCCCAGCUACUCGGGAGGCUGAGGUGGGAGGAUCGCUUGAGCCCAGGAGUUCUGGGCUGUAGUGCGCUAUGCCGAUCGGGUGUCCGCACUAAGUUCGGCAUCAAUAUGGUGACCUCCCGGGAGCGGGGGACCACCAGGUUGCCUCAGGAGGGGUGAACCGGCCCAGGUCGGAAAAGGAGCAGGUCAAAACUCCCGUGCUGAUCAGUAGUGGGAUUGCCCCUGUGAAAAGCCACUGCACUCCAGCCCGGGCAACAUAGCGAGACCCCGUCUCU